Molecule: ribosomal RNA, 163 nt
Filed under: Loeflingia squarrosa
Lineage: Eukaryota; Viridiplantae; Streptophyta; Magnoliopsida; Caryophyllales; Caryophyllaceae
Description: 5.8S ribosomal RNA
Rfam family: 5.8S ribosomal RNA
About the family: 5.8S ribosomal RNA (5.8S rRNA) is a component of the large subunit of the eukaryotic ribosome.
Source: RNAcentral
UAAACGACUCUCGGCAACGGAUAUCUCGGCUCUCGCAUCGAUGAAGAACGUAGCGAAAUGCGAUACUUGGUGUGAAUUGCAGAAUCCCGUGAACCAUCGAGUCUUUGAACGCAAGUUGCGCCCGAAGCUUCUGGCUGAGGGCACGUCUGCCUGGGCGUCACGC